UGGGGAAUAUUGCACAAUGGGCGAAAGCCUGAUGCAGCCAUGCCGCGUGUGUGAAGAAGGCUCUAGGGUUGUAAAGCACUUUCAGUAGGGAGGAAAUGUUAACGGUUAAUACCCGUUAGCUUUGACGUUACCUACAGAAGAAGCACCGGCAAACUCCGUGCCAGCAGCCGCGGUAAUACGGAGGGUGCGAGCGUUAAUCGGAAUUACUGGGCGUAAAGCGCGCGUAGGUGGUUUGAUAAGCUAGCUGUGAAAGCCCCGGGCUCAACCUGGGAACUGCAGUUAGAACUGUCUGACUAGAGUACAGUAGAGGGUGGCGGAAUUUCCUGUGUAGCGGUGAAAUGCGUAGAUAUAGGAAGGAACAUCAGUGGCGAAGGCGGCCACCUGGACUGAUACUGACACUGAGGUGCGAAAGCGUGGGGAGCAAACAGG
This 429-nucleotide ribosomal RNA is filed under the name uncultured bacterium. RNAcentral's name for it is "bacterial SSU rRNA". It matches the Rfam family "Bacterial small subunit ribosomal RNA", at positions 355 to 776 of the family's 1533-position model. The record is from RNAcentral.